This 7103-nucleotide long non-coding RNA is filed under the name Salvia miltiorrhiza (redroot sage). Its description in RNAcentral is "long non-coding RNA (SMIL_LNC002748)". Lineage: Eukaryota; Viridiplantae; Streptophyta; Magnoliopsida; Lamiales; Lamiaceae. The record is from RNAcentral.
AGAAUCCGCAGCCCAUCGCUCGAGUGCUUAGCCAUUAAAUUAAGAGACGAAGAGUGCUUAGCCAUUAAAUUAAGCGACAAGUAUACAAAAGUUAAAUUGGAGUUUGAUAUUCCAAAUAUUCGGAAAUUCGAGUUCAAGGGCUAUGAUGUGCCGCACCUUGAGCUGAAGAAGACGAGUAGCAGGGAAUGGGUGUCGGAUAUACGCAUAAAUUGCACGACUUGUAUAGUAGAUGUGCCGUGGCUGCAUUCGUUGAGGCAGCUUGUGAAACUGUUGAGCCCAUCCCGAGUUUCUCUGGUUCUCAAAAUUGGCGACCUGCCGCCGGGUAUGGAUCCAUAUCCAUAUGGAUGGUUUAGCUAUACCUGCAGCGGAGAAUUUGACGAUGAGCGGUUCUGGAGUGCUGUCGCCGGCAUUCCUGAAUGCUUUAUUGUGAGGUACUCGUACCGAGUACCUUAGCAUUGAAAGUCGUACCGAGUACAGCAUUGAAAGAAGAUGUGAAGAUGUUUGAGAGAAAGAGAAUGUGGAACAGUUUCUACACUUGAGCUCUCUGCCAUGGAACACGUUAGAUGAUUCAAUGAAUCAUUCAGAAGAAGAAUUCGUUCGAUUCCAACUCAAAUAGCCAGAUCGUUUCCUAGCUCUUUUUUAAGGAUGAGAUGUUUUCUAGUUUAUUCUUGUACAGGAGAUACAAACAAGUGUUUUGAAGUUUAUUGUUGUGAAAAGGUAAUGCAUGUUUUCACCAAUAUUGUUCAACAUCUGUAAAGCUUUACGUUGGUUUUCGAUUUUUAGGGCUAUUCAUUGAAUAUAGUGUCUUCCUAUUUUUAUUCUCCAGAUAUUCUUAGUGAAAAUCCACGCCUAGAAACAACAGAUAAGGUAUCAUGUGUUUUCGUGUUUGAUGCUCUUAUUCAAUAACACCAAUGUUCAUUGAGAAAUUUGUUAUUAUUUAUUACAUAUUGUAUUCAUGAAUUUUCAGUAAUCACAAUUUAUGAUUAGUAGGUACAUCAGUCACCAAAUUAUUUUAAGAUAAUAAUAUGGUGUAUUAAAAAAUGAUUAACAUGAAGCUUUUUGCAUAAGCUUUAUAAAAUUAUGAAUAUUCUAGUGAAAAUUCUGGUUAUCGAUAUCUGAUUAUUGAUAUUUGAUUGAGGAUUGUAAAAUAUUUAAUAUAAAUUUUUUUUUACAUGCGUAUAAAAUUUACCAACACUUAAAUAAAAUAUUCAAAAUUUUCUUGUUGACAUAAAAUAUCUAUCAUAAAACAUUUCGAACAAUCAAAGAAAAAUUAUGAACAUCUAAAUAAAAUAUUCGAUUUUUUUUCCUAACAUUAAAUAUUUAACAUAAAACAUUUUGAACAAACGUAAAAAAUUACAAACAUCUAAAUAAAAUAUUCGAAUUUUUUUUCCUGACAUUAAAUAGUGAACAUAAAAUAUUCAAAUUUAUGUUGUUGGAAUAAAAUAUUUAACAUAGAAUUACAAUCAAAGUAACAAAAAAAAAUAUAGAAUUUACAAUUAAAACAAAAAAUAUAUAUUUGCACGUCAGUCUGAUCCUAUUCUCCUCUCUUUUACACCUCAAAAAAAAAAUAUUAGACAUUCUUCAUUUAAAUACCUUAUACAAUUAUUCAAUAAAAAAAAAUCAACAAAAAAAAAAACUAAUAGUCAAAAGGGUAGUGCUAAAUGGCCAUAAUAGGUUAAAUUAGUAAUUUUCUAUUUAUAUAAUUAUAUAUUUCAUUAUUUUUAAUCAAUGAUUUAUUAUCUUACAAUAUUACCUCUACAUAUAUUCUAUUUCCUUAAUAAUCAAAGAUUACUUCCUUAUAUAUAUAUUAAACUAAUUAUACUAUGUUUGACUAAUUAAUUAUUACCUACUAUAUAUAGAUUGAUUUAUUUUCGAAUUCAAUUCACAUAUCAUUGUGAGUUUUGUGAUGGAUUCAAUUUGAAUAUCAAUUUAAAUUUUAUGUGUAAUUCGAAUUAAAAUAACAUUACCAUAGCCAUCCCAUCACCCUUAAUCUUUUAUGUUUUAUUAAAUAAUUUUUAUAUAUCGGCUCAAAUUAAAUUUUAUCUGUUCAAUUCAAAUAUACUAAUUUCUCAUAAUUAUUUUUAAAUUUUUUCUUAUUUUUCAUUUCUAUUUUUUUGUUUUGUAUCUUCAAUCUAUUUUAUUUAAUUUUCAUUGAAUAUACUUUUUUUCUAUUUUCUUAAUUAUGUCAUGUGUAUGUAAUACAUAUACAUGUUUGUUUUAUUCUACCAAUUAUUUAUCCAUAUCACACAAUUCAAACUCCAAAUCCAUAUAUAUAUAUAUAUAUAUAUAUAUAUAUAUAUAUAUAUAUAUAUGGAAUAAAAAAUAAUUGAUUGUUUUCGUACAUCAUGGAAUGUGUAAUGUGUACGUGUAUAAAAUAUUACAUACAAUUAUGGAAAGAAGAGUAUUAAUUGAUGAUUAAGGAAAUAAUAAUACAUCCAAUAGUUUAAGGAUAUUUUAGUCAUAAAUUUUUUUUAUGUAAUUUCAAGGGUAUUAUGGUAGCCAUAAUUAUGGCUCCAUAUAAUUUCCCUAGUGGAAAAUACUAAAUUUUAAAAAAAAUACGAAAAAUUAAUGUCAACAGAAACAAAUAAUAAGGAAAAAAAAGUUUAGUUAGGCAAUUGUUCAAAUCAAUCGCAUAAAUUAUUAUAGAAACGAAAUAUUAAAUUAAUGUCAACAGAAAAAAAAAAUAAUAAGAUUUUUUUUAUUCUAAUCAAUAUUAGGGUUGAAUACAGUAACUCAAUGACACGAAAAAGAAAAAUUAUUAUAGAAACGAAUAUUAGGGUUGAAUACACCAGCUCUCAUCUCUCUCUACUGCUCUCAUCUCUGCGCCUUGCAUCUCUCUACAGCUCUCCUCUCUCGUCCAUCCCUAGCUAUCUCUCUCUGCACGUAAUGGCCGCUAAUUUUUCACCUUCAGGGAAGGUUAGUCCUUCAUCCUUUGUAGCGUAUCCUUCACGAGUGGAUCUUUCUAUGCCAAAAAUAUGUGCUAUCUUUACCUCCUCCACAAUUCAUCUUGUCUACAUAUUUGAUUCAAAUCUAGAUGAUGAUGUUGAUACAGUCAAUUUAGGCUAUAUUGAUCCGUAUACCAAUGGCCAGCAAUUUGUGCCACGACACCCAAAUCUUGCAUUUGACUAUCUAAGCCCUUAUCAUUGUUUCUGCGGGAUCGGUGCAAAAAUCUACAUAUUUGAAGGCAUAAACCAGGAUUUGUUGGAUUCAAAGUAUUACGGAGAAGAUGAAGAUUACCUCUUUUUAAUUGGCGUAUACCGCUUUGAUCUUUUGGCCGAGCACUUGACGAGGCAAUCGGCGACACCACCCAAUUUCAAUAAAACUCAUAUGGAUGAGGUUUAUGAAAUGCAGGGGCGGAAGUGCUCGCCCCAGGCUAUUCAAUUCGGUACUGACCAAAUUUUGGUAUUUUCUACUCAAAUUUUCUUCGUAGAGAAUUUUUUGGACAUCACUGAUCAUCCUCAUUAUUUGGUUGAUUUUGAGUUAUAUAAUACUGUGUCUAAUGAUUCUGUAAAACUUCCAUCUUUACAUGUUUAUCGGAUCAACGCAACUUAUUUUGCGUUGAUAGAGGGUGAUGGGAGUCCGUCAAUUUUUACACCAACAGAAAAUAUUGAAAGGGAUAAUACUGGUUUUCGUAGAACAUUUAGUAUUAUGGCAUUCACUUUAAUCCAUGAUCAUAGAUUUGUGGUUCAACCAGACUUUGGUGGAGUGGAGUUCUGUUUAGAUAUAUCUUGUGAAGAACCAAAAUGGGAAUUAUGGGAAGGGACGUUUUCUUCUUGUCAUGGUCUGCAUUUGGGGAGUAGAAAUGGUCGUUUGAUCUUCAAUUCAUAUGGGGCUUAUGAAGCUGGGAAGAAAUCUGUUGACGUAUUUCCUUUUCCACUGUGCUCGAGUCUUUCAAGUUCGAUUUAUGGGAGAAAUUCCUUGAUCGCACUGUUGGAGCACACCCCAGAAUAUGUGGUUUGUAUCAUGCAAAUAGCACAAGAUCGUAGGGGAAGGUUAUACUGGACUAUGAACAUGAUCAAGCUCAAUGAUGAAGAGUUCGAGUCUAGGAAUUUUGAAGGGCGAUUUGCUACACGCAUCAAGUCUUUCAAAUUUGUUGACCGUUUUGUUUCUUUUCCUACCACUAUUUCGGCCUUGUUUCCUUUGUAGUUAAUAUUAUAUACAUGUUCUGCUAGUAAUCAUAGUUAUGGUCAUAUUUAUCAUUCUUAAGUGUGAAUCCCACUAAUAUAAGUACUUCAUCUAUCCCACGAAUCAUGACUCAGUUUUCUUUUUGGUCCGUCCCACUAAACUUGACAUGUUUCCUUUUUUGGAAGAAAUGCUUCAUGGGACGGAGGGAGUAUAAUAUAAUAGAGAUGUUAUGUUGAUUGCCAUAAGGUUCAUUUGCAGAGUAUAUAGCCUUAUGAUAAUCUUAUCUCUUAACAGUAUGUAUUGUCUUUAUGAUUUAAUGCAUUAGGCGAUUUUCCAUGCAUUGUUUGGCUGAAGGACUUGCAUCAUCCAUGUAGAGGCAAGCUUUUCUUCAGUAACUGAAUCUUCCAUGAAAGAUGUCAUGAAUCUUUUCAAUGCUUUUCUGAAUGGAUGUCUGAUGUUGAAUGCUUCCAUUUCUCACCAACUAAUCCAUGGCCCUUCUUAGUUAACUUAUCACUACAUAAAUUUCAGACAGAUUCAUGAAACAGACAAACAGUUUAUAUAUAUGUGUAUAUAUAUAUAAUAUUUUAUUUUAUUGUAUAUCUAUAUAUAUGUGUAUAUAAAUAAGAAAUACAAUAAAAAAUAUAGUAAUACAUCAAUUGUUUAUAGUAUCCAAUUAUCCAUAUUAAUUGCUUAACACAUUGAUUUGUUACAUUUAUGUAAUUUUAUCCUUUUCUCUUUCUUAAUUAAUUUUUAAUGUUGAAUUUGAGUCAAUUCUAAAGUUAAAAGUAAAAUUACUAAUUAUUAACAAUGAAAAUUAGUUUAUUUGUUUGGAAGAUGAAACAUUUUUUUAAAAAAUGCAUAAAAGUAUGGCUAUAUAUGCGUUCAAUCUACUUGAUGUUGAAUUAAUUGAAUUGCGAAAAAUUAUCUAUUAUAUUAAGUGAUUUAUUUAAAAACAUGCAUAAAAAUAAAGUGUACGGAAUGCUCAAAAAAAUUUGCUCGUAGUUAAACAAAUUCAGCCCUCCUAACAUUAAAUCCUGGAUCCGCAAUAAGAUGAAGCAAGUUCUUCCGGUUCUCUGCUAGGAUUGGAUGAAGGUUUCUCAUAGUCAUACUUAUUAGGGUCUUCCAAAACAAGACUCAUAUCAUUGGAGCUGUGACUCGCACUUCCUUCUGUAGCAGCCACUGAAGAUUUUUGGAAAAUACCAGAAGUCAUAAAUUGUGUGCAGUUUCAAAGUAUUCGGUAAUUUCGCUCGUGAGCCUCAAAGUAUUUGGUAAUUAAAGUUUGAGAUUCGAUUCGAUAUUAAACAAACUAAACUUGGUGACGAUUCGGCUUGUUUCGAUUAAUUGAGGAUACAAAGUAUAAGAUAUUGUUAAUAAUAAAAAUAGAUUAAUUUUUUCCCUAAAAUAAUAGAUAUAUUUUAGAAAUGUCUUUAAUUAUUUUUAUUGACGGAGGGAAUAUUACUUUUAGGUUUUGGAUGCAAGUAGAGUCCAAUCUUGCUUACACACUAAGCAAGUCGUAAAAAGGGUAUAUUUGUUUUUCGCGAUUAAAUUCAUGAUUGAUUUUAAUUUCGAUUUCUUAUCCAAUUUUGAAGCAAAGCAUUGAUUAUAAUAAAACAAAGUGCAUUAUCAUUAAAAUUCGACUUUUAAUUUGGUAACGUCAUCUUAAUUAUUUGUUUAAAGCUCUUUUCUCUAAAGUUAAAGCUGACGUGUACGUUAAUGGACAAAACCUUCCUCGCUUUCCUUUACUGCCACGUGCUUAUCCUAUUCUACAUUUUUUUAUAUAUAAAAUAAAAGUUUCUUUUACCUUUUUCUACUUGUUUACUUAUUAUUUUUAAUUAUUUUGUAAUAUGUCAACAACUUUUUCUUAAUUAAUCAUAUCUUUCAUCGCAUAUUUCUUUAAGACUACCCACAGUCGUGACACUCAUUCAACCCAACCUUACUCAACUUUUUAAUAAAAUAUUCAUUUCUCUCUCAUCCACCUACACAACCCACAACCUACUACUCCCUCCGUCCGCCAAAAGUAUGGCACAAUUACUAUAUUGGGCGUCCGCAAAAGUAAUUCCACUUCCUUUUUAAGUCCAUGGUCCCACCAUCCACCUUUAUAUUUUAUCCUUACUNAUUUCGGCCUUGUUUCCUUUGUAGUUAAUAUUUUUAUGUUCUUAAUUCCCCUAUCAUGUUGUAUCCCUUUAUACAUGUUCUGCUACAUUCCUUUUGUAAUCAUAGUUAUGGUCAUCACUCAGAGGUAUAUAUGAGAAACUUUAUUUGUUCUCUUUCAUAUGUUGGUGAUAAUAGAAAUCUCUUUUCUGCCUCCUCUCACUGUUUCAAAUAAUUUUAUCAAUGAUGUUGCAGCAUAAAAAUCAUUCUGGGUCCUACAUCUAGUCUCAGAAGCUCAUUUAAGUUGAAUGAGACAAACAUCACAAAGGUGAUACUGCAGUAAAAUUAAGAUGUUUGAUGUUUGUGUGUUGCUAUUAACAAAUGGAUCAUAAGCUUAAAGAAAAAAGAUAAUGAGCAGAGCUUUAUAUGGUUCUUUAAUUUCUGUUGAUGUAGUAUCUCAUUUGGAAGUGCGACUUUGAGUAUUAUGGGGAGGAUGUGAUUAGAAUUCGUAGCCCAUCGCUCGAGUGCAUAACCAUUAAAUUAAGCAGCGAGUAUGCACAAGUUAAAUUGGAGUUUGAUAUUCCAAAUAUUCGGGAAUUCCAGUUCAAGGGUUAUGAUGUGCCGCGCCUUGGGCUGAAGACGAGUAGCGGGGAAUGGGAGUCGGAUAUACGCAUAAAUUGCACAUCUUGUAUAGUAGAUGCGCUGUGGCUGCAUUCGUUGAGGCACCUUGUGAAACUGUUGAGCCCAUGCCGAGUUUCUCUGGUUCUCAAAAUUGGCGACCUGCUGCCGGGUAUGGAAGAUGGAUGGUUUAGCUAUACCUGCAGCGGAGAAUUUGACGAUGAGCGGUUUUGGAGUGCUAUCGCCGGCAUUCCUGAAUGCUUUAUUUU